UCAGAUGGCCGGAUGGCCGCUCCCCUGCCGCAAGCCGGCCGGGGGGAGGAAAGUCCGGGCUCCACGGAAACACGGUGCCGGGUAACGCCCGGCGGGGGCGACCCCAGGGAAAGUGCCACAGAGAACAGACCGCCGGCCGGCCCAACGGGCCAUUGGCCGGUAAGGGUGAAAAGGUGCGGUAAGAGCGCACCGCGCCGCUGGCAACAGGGGCGGCAUGGUAAACCCCACCGGGAGCAAGGCCAAAUAGGGACAACAGGCCGCAUUGCGGCAGGCGGGUUUCCGCGCCGGUUGUCCGGGUCGGCUGCAUGAGGCAUACGGUAACGUAUGUCCCAGAUGAAUGGUCAUCAUCCGCAUCGCGCGGAUACAGAACCCGGCUUACAGGCCGUCUGACAAU
Molecule: RNase P RNA, 394 nt
Filed under: Alphaproteobacteria bacterium
Lineage: Bacteria; Pseudomonadati; Pseudomonadota; Alphaproteobacteria
Description: RNase P RNA component class A
Rfam family: Bacterial RNase P class A
About the family: Ribonuclease P (RNase P) is a ubiquitous endoribonuclease, found in archaea, bacteria and eukarya as well as chloroplasts and mitochondria. Its best characterised activity is the generation of mature 5'-ends of tRNAs by cleaving the 5'-leader elements of precursor-tRNAs. Cellular RNase Ps are ribonucleoproteins.
Source: RNAcentral